UGACCUCAAAUCAGGUAGGACUACCCGCUGAACUUAAGCAUAUCAAUAAGCGGAGGAAAAGAAACUAACAAGGAUUCCCCUAGUAACGGCGAGUGAAGCGGGAAGAGCUCAAAUUUGUAAUCUGGCGGCCUCUGGUCGUCCGAGUUGUAGUCUGGAGAAGCGUUUUCCGCGUCGGACCGUGUACAAGUCCCUUGGAACAGGGCGUCAUAGAGGGUGAGAAUCCCGUCUUUGACACGGACUGCCGACGCUCUGUGAUGCGCUCUCGAAGAGUCGAGUUGUUUGGGAAUGCAGCUCAAAACGGGUGGUAAAUUCCAUCUAAAGCUAAAUAUUGGCGAAAGACCGAUAGCGAACAAGUACCGUGAGGGAAAGAUGAAAAGCACUUUGGAAAGAGAGUUAAACAGUACGUGAAAUUGUUGAAAGGGAAACGCUUGAAGUCAGUCGCGUCUCCCGGGACUCAGCCUUGCUUUGCCAGGCGUAUUUCCCGGGGCGACGGGCCAGCAUCGAUUUUGACCGUCGGAGAAAGGCUUUGGGAACGUGGCACCUUCGGGUGUGUUAUAGCCCUCGGUCGUAUGCGACGGUCGGGAUUGAGGACCGCAGCACGCCUUUUUGGCCGGGGUUCGCCCACGUAACGUGCUUAGGA
RNAcentral lists this ribosomal RNA (640 nucleotides) under Ramaria gelatinosa. RNAcentral's name for it is "eukaryotic LSU rRNA". It matches the Rfam family "Eukaryotic large subunit ribosomal RNA", at positions 1 to 618 of the family's 3401-position model. Lineage: Eukaryota; Fungi; Basidiomycota; Agaricomycetes; Gomphales; Gomphaceae. The record is from RNAcentral.